This 497-nucleotide ribosomal RNA is filed under the name uncultured bacterium. RNAcentral describes it as "bacterial SSU rRNA". It matches the Rfam family "Bacterial small subunit ribosomal RNA", at positions 21 to 507 of the family's 1533-position model. The record is from RNAcentral.
GGCUCAGAUUGAACGCUGGCGGCAUGCCUAACACAUGCAAGUCGAACGGCAGCACGGUCUAGUUUACUAGAUGGGUGGCGAGUGGCGGACGGGUGAGUAAUGCGCAGGAAUAUGCCUUAAAGUGGGGGACAACUUGGGGAAACUCAAGCUAAUACCGCGUAAUCUCUUCGGAGAAAAGCUGGGGACCUUCGGGCCUGGCGCUUUAAGAUUAGCCUGCGUCCGAUUAGCUAGUUGGUAGGGUAAAGGCCUACCAAGGCGACGAUCGGUAGCUGGUCUGAGAGGAUGACCAGCCACACUGGAACUGAGACACGGUCCAGACUCCUACGGGAGGCAGCAGUGGGGAAUAUUGGACAAUGGGGGAAACCCUGAUCCAGCAAUGCCGCGUGUGUGAAGAAGGCCUGAGGGUUGUAAAGCACUUUCAGUGGGGAGGAGGAUUGAUAGGUUAAGAGCUAAUUAAUUGGACGUUACCCACAGAAGAAGCACCGGCUAACUCCGUG